CCUGGAGGGCUGACAAGGCUGAGUCUGGAGAGUGAGGCUCAGGUGACAGUGACCUCCUAAAAGAAAAGGGAUGGAGAGAGCAGUCCUGCCUGCAGGAAGAGCCCAGGGCUCACUGUGCCAUCUGACACCA
Molecule: non-coding RNA, 130 nt
Organism: Pyrgilauda ruficollis (rufous-necked snowfinch)
Lineage: Eukaryota; Metazoa; Chordata; Aves; Passeriformes; Passeridae
Product: small Cajal body-specific RNA 4
Exons: 1
Source: RefSeq, a predicted model, not a curated record